UUUUAAAUUACCAUACUAUCCUCUUAUAAUAAAAAAAAGGGUUAAGUUGCAAACUACUCACUUUUUUAAACUUAAUUAGAAAAGUAGUCACUUUACUAUUCAUAAUUUGCAAAAUAGUCACCUUUUACUGUUUGAUUCGUACACUUCGAUAGUACACCACUUUUAGUGUACAUAUGUAUAUAAAAAAUACACAGCGUACACUUUACAUUUGUACACUAAAAAUGAUGUACAAUCCAAGUAUACGAAUCAAACAGUGAAAAGUGAAUACUUUGCAAAUUAUGAAUAAUAAAAUGACUACUUUCCUAAUUAAGUUUGAAAAAUUGACUAUUUUACUAACACACCCUAAAAAAAAUCCAGUUUGGUUAUUCACCAAAUUAAUCCUCUAUUUUCUUUAUUUUAUUGUAGUUAGAUACGUUUUCU
RNAcentral lists this small RNA (420 nucleotides) under Arabidopsis thaliana (thale cress). RNAcentral's name for it is "ATSL219530". Lineage: Eukaryota; Viridiplantae; Streptophyta; Magnoliopsida; Brassicales; Brassicaceae. The record is from RNAcentral.